Molecule: ribosomal RNA, 467 nt
Filed under: Leptospira borgpetersenii serovar Hardjo-bovis
Lineage: Bacteria; Pseudomonadati; Spirochaetota; Leptospiria; Leptospirales; Leptospiraceae
Description: partial 23S ribosomal RNA
Rfam family: Bacterial large subunit ribosomal RNA
Source: RNAcentral
CUCGUAUUCGAAAUAGUCUUUAUACCUAGCAGUAUCCUGAGUACGGCGAGACACGAGAAAUCUCGUCGGAAUCUGGGAGGACCAUCUCCCAACCCUAAAUACUCUCUAGUGACCGAUAGUGAACCAGUACCGUGAGGGAAAGGUGAAAAGCACCCCGGGAGGGGAGUGAAAUAGAACCUGAAACCGUGUGCCUACAACAAGUUCGAGCCCGUUAAUGGGUGAGAGCGUGCCUUUUGUAGAAUGAACCGGCGAGUUACGAUAUGAUGCGAGGUUAAGUUGAAGAGACGGAGCCGUAGGGAAACCGAGUCUUAAUAGGGCGCAUUAGUAUCAUGUCGUAGACCCGAAACCAUGUGACCUACCCAUGAGCAGGUUGAAGGUGAGGUAAAACUCACUGGAGGACCGAACCAGGGCACGUUGAAAAGUGCUUGGAUGACUUGUGGGUAGCGGAGAAAUUCCAAACGAACUUG